CCCCAGAUGUCUUGGCCUUAUUACUCUCCUGGUUACCCUUAUUAUGGCAAACCAAAACCUGCGGAGAAACCAACUGCUAUCCUUACCAACACCUCAGCAGUUGCCCAAGCACCAACAGAGAAGCCUCACCCUCCAAAGUACCCCCAAAUGUCUUGGCCAUAUUACUACCCCCAUGACCCUGUCAGGCCAAAGCCCACAGAGAAACCAGCUUCAGCCACCCCCACUGCUCACCCAUCAGGCUCGCCAGCAACAACCCAGACGCUGCAGCCCCCAGCAUACCCUGGAAGUCUAUUCCCUCAGUAUAGCUAUUACCCUGAUUAUCCUUCCUAUUUGCAAGCGUUUUAUCCACAAUACCCAGUUCAGCCUCCCAAAACUCCUACUGCACCGCCUAUAACCACCACUCCUCAACCCUGUACUACAACUGCAGCUGCUGAAUGCAAACCCUUUGCCAACCAGCCUCCCAAUGUGCCACCCCAGCAGUAUAUACCUCCCAGUUCUGUACUUUAUGAAAAAAACCCUUUCGUGUUUCAAUUUGUGGACUUUUUGGAUCCCAACUCUUUCCCAUGAAGUUUUGUUAUGAGGACUGAGGCCAGAUGCUUAGAAUUACGCUGGUAAUGUGCUGCAUGUGUCUUUGAAAAAGAUUGCCUCCUGAUUUAAUGCUAAUACUGCAGAGUGAUUCCUGCUCAUGAACAUGCUGGUUUGUGCUUAGUUUUGUCCUAAUUGUCUCAAAAAAUUCAAUAAAUCAGAUAUGAUCAAAUGCCCGGGUCUUUUUUUUUUUUUGUUUUUUUUUUUUUCUUCUCUUCUUCUCAGUGCCUGCUGGUAGAGAACACGCCACAGUGGGGAAAUGGUUUGUG
Molecule: long non-coding RNA, 854 nt
Filed under: Sinocyclocheilus anshuiensis
Lineage: Eukaryota; Metazoa; Chordata; Actinopteri; Cypriniformes; Cyprinidae
Description: lncRNA (ENSSANG00000018467.1)
Source: RNAcentral